UACGAAGGGUGCAAGCGUUAAUCGGAAUUACUGGGCGUAAAGCGCGCGUAGGUGGUUUGUUAAGUUGGAUGUGAAAGCCCCGGGCUCAACCUGGGAACUGCAUCCAAAACUGCUGAGCUAGAGUACGGUAGAGGGUGGUGGAAUUUCCUGUGUAGCGGUGAAAUGCGUAGAUAUAGGAAGGAACACCAGUGGCGAAGGCGACCACCUGGACUGAUACUGACACUGAGGUGCGAAAGCGUGGGGAGCAAACAGG
This 253-nucleotide ribosomal RNA is filed under the name uncultured bacterium. RNAcentral's name for it is "partial 16S ribosomal RNA". It matches the Rfam family "Bacterial small subunit ribosomal RNA", at positions 524 to 776 of the family's 1533-position model. The record is from RNAcentral.